AUGGCAUAACGAGGGCUUAGCUGUCUCCUUUUUCCAGUCAAUGAAAUUGAUCUCCCCGUGCAGAAGCGGGGAUAAUUACAUAAGACGAGAAGACCCUAUGGAGCUUUAGACACUAAAGUGGAUCAUGUUAAUGAACCUAAAUAAAGGAUUGAACAAGAUGGAACCCACCCUGAUGUCUUUGGUUGGGGCGACCGCGGGGAACUAAAUAACCCCCAUGUGGAAUGGGAGCACCCCUCCUACAGCUGAGAGUUACAACUCUAAUAAACAGAACUUCUGACCAAAAAGAUCCGGCAAUGCCGAUCAACGGACCUAGUUACCCUAGGGAUAACAGCGCAAUCCUCUUUUAGAGCCCAUAUCGACAAGGGGGUUUACGACCUCGAUGUUGGAUCAGGACAUCCUAAUGGUGCAGCCGCUAUUA
Molecule: ribosomal RNA, 418 nt
Filed under: Gasterosteus wheatlandi (blackspotted stickleback)
Lineage: Eukaryota; Metazoa; Chordata; Actinopteri; Perciformes; Gasterosteidae
Description: partial 16S ribosomal RNA
Rfam family: Bacterial large subunit ribosomal RNA
Source: RNAcentral